This 98-nucleotide microRNA precursor is filed under the name Strigamia maritima. Its description in RNAcentral is "microRNA mir-210". It matches the Rfam family "mir-210 microRNA precursor family". Lineage: Eukaryota; Metazoa; Arthropoda; Chilopoda; Geophilomorpha; Linotaeniidae. The record is from Rfam by way of RNAcentral.
ACGUGAACUACAGCAGCUGCUGGACACUGCACAAGAUCAGACAUGUAAAUUCUCUUGUGCGUGUGACAGCGGCUAUUGUGAAUCACUAACUGCAUCGA